UUAGAUUUUAUUUAUUAAUUUUGUUUAUUUGUAUUUAAAGUAUUAAAAAUAAUUAUAAAAAAAAAAGUUUUAGUAUUGUUUAUAGAAAAAAUAAAUUUAAUAAUAGUUUAAAAGUAUUGUAAAAGAAAAUUGAAAUAUUUUGAAAAAUUUUUAUUUAAAAAGAAAAUUUAAUUUAUUGUACCUUGUGUAUCAGUGUUUAUUAAAUAAAAAAUAUAAAAAAUGUUUUUCUCGAUUUUAAAAGAGUUAAUAUAAUAUAAAAGUUAAUGUAGUAAAAUUAUUUUUAAUAUUAUAUUAGAAAUGAAAUGUUAUUCGUUUUUAAAGGUAUCUAGUUUUUCAAGAAAUAAAUUUAAUUUAGAAAUUGUAAAUUUAUUUAAAAAAUUUUUUAAUUAAAUAAUUUAUAAUUUUAAUAUUUUAUGGGAUAAGCUGUGGAAUAAAAAAUUAAAAAUAAUAAAUAAAUAUUAAUAAAUAUAUGUUUAAAAUUAGCAAUUGUUUACAAUUAUGUUAUAAUUUAUUUUAUAAAUCAAAUUAUUUAUUAAAUUUUAAUUAUUUAUUGAAAUAUUAAUUUUAAUUUUUAAAAUUAAGCAAUAAUGAUAAAAUUAGUAUAUAUUUAUUGUAAAAAUAAAUUUAAAUGAAAAGUUUAUGUAAAG
RNAcentral lists this ribosomal RNA (647 nucleotides) under Drosophila biseriata. RNAcentral describes it as "partial 16S ribosomal RNA". The record is from RNAcentral. Lineage: Eukaryota; Metazoa; Arthropoda; Insecta; Diptera; Drosophilidae.